CUACGGGUGGCAGCAGUGGGGAAUAUUGGACAAUGGGGGAAACCCUGAUCCAGCAAUGCCGCGUGUGUGAAGAAGGCCUGCGGGUUGUAAAGCACUUUCGGUUGGGAGGACUGCUUCUAGCACUAAUAUUGUUGGAAGUUGACGUUACCUUCAGAAGAAGCACCGGCUAACUCCGUGCCAGCAGCCGCGGUAAUACGGAGGGUGCAAGCGUUAAUCGGAAUUACUGGGCGUAAAGCGCGCGUAGGCGGCUAGAUCAGUCGGGUGUGAAAGCCCCGGGCUUAACCUGGGAACUGCAUCCGAUACUGUCUAGCUUGAGUACAGGAGGGGAGAGUGGAAUUCCACAUGUAGCGGUGAAAUGCGUAGAUAUGUGGAGGAACACCAAUGGCGAAGGCAGCUCUCUGGCCUGAUACUGACGCUGAGGUGCGAGAGCGUGGGGAGCAAACAGGAUUAGAUACCCUAGUAGUC
RNAcentral lists this ribosomal RNA (465 nucleotides) under uncultured bacterium. RNAcentral describes it as "partial 16S ribosomal RNA". It matches the Rfam family "Bacterial small subunit ribosomal RNA", at positions 339 to 795 of the family's 1533-position model. The record is from RNAcentral.